GAUGAACGCUAGCGGCAGGCCUAACACAUGCAAGUCGAGGGGUAGAGUUCUUCGGAACUUGAGACCGGCGCACGGGUGCGUAACGCGUAUGCAAUCUACCUUAUACAGGGGAAUAGCCCAGAGAAAUUUGGAUUAAUGCCCCAUAGUGUUAUCGAAUCGCAUGGUUUGAUAACUAAAGUUCCAACGGUAUAAGAUGAGCAUGCGUCCCAUUAGUUAGUUGGUAAGGUAACGGCUUACCAAGACAAUGAUGGGUAGGGGUCCUGAGAGGGAGAUCCCCCACACUGGUACUGAGACACGGACCAGACUCCUACGGGAGGCAGCAGUGAGGAAUAUUGGUCAAUGGGCGCAAGCCUGAACCAGCCAUGCCGCGUGCAGGAAGACGGUCCUAUGGAUUGUAAACUGCUUUUAUACAGGAAGAAACCCUCCCACGUGUGGGAGCUUGACGGUACUGUAGGAAUAAGGAUCGGCUAACUCCGUGCCAGCAGCCGCGGU
This 492-nucleotide ribosomal RNA is filed under the name uncultured bacterium. RNAcentral describes it as "bacterial SSU rRNA". It matches the Rfam family "Bacterial small subunit ribosomal RNA", at positions 28 to 521 of the family's 1533-position model. The record is from RNAcentral.